Olea europaea var. sylvestris is the source of this 242-nucleotide long non-coding RNA. RefSeq lists it as uncharacterized. The transcript has 2 exons. The record is from RefSeq and is a predicted model, not a curated record. NCBI's taxonomy places the organism in Eukaryota, Viridiplantae, Streptophyta, Magnoliopsida, Lamiales, Oleaceae.
ACUGUUUGAAACUUAACCAACCUGGGGAAUUCGUGCGCUAGUAUAAAAUAGGGAGCCCAGCUCAGAAGCUCAAUGUCAAUUAUCACUUUUUCAAACGCAUUUUUACCCACUUUUGAGAAAAAGGAACGCACUUAAUCAAUGGCCAUCAAAGUUUACAUUGUGUACUAUUCCAUGUAUGGACAUGUAGAGAAACUAGCAGAAGAGAUAAAGAAAGGGGCUGCAUCUGUUGAAGGGGUUGAAGC